UACAGAGGGUGCAAGCGUUAAUCGGAAUUACUGGGCGUAAAGCGCGUGUAGGUGGAUGCGUAAGUUGGAUGUGAAAUUCCCGGGCUUAACCUGGGGUGGUCAUUCAAAACUACGUGUCUAGAGUAUGGUAGAGGGAAGUGGAAUUUCAGGUGUAGCGGUGAAAUGCGUAGAUAUCUGAAGGAACACCAGUGGCGAAGGCGACUUCCUGGACCAAUACUGACACUGAGACGCGAAAGCGUGGGUAGCGAACAGG
RNAcentral lists this ribosomal RNA (253 nucleotides) under uncultured bacterium. RNAcentral's name for it is "partial 16S ribosomal RNA". It matches the Rfam family "Bacterial small subunit ribosomal RNA", at positions 524 to 776 of the family's 1533-position model. The record is from RNAcentral.